UCGGGAAUAUUGGGCAAUGGGCGCAAGCCUGACCCAGCGACGCCGCGUGAGGGAUGAAGGCCUUCGGGUCGUAAACCUCUGUCGGGAGGGAAGAAUGGCGGUGAAGCGAAUAGUUUCGCUGUCUGACGGUACCUCCAAAGGAAGCGCCGGCUAACUCCGUGCCAGCAGCCGCGGUAAUACGGAGGGCGCAAGCGUUGUUCGGAAUCACUGGGCGUAAAGCGCGUGUAGGCGGCCGGGCAAGUCGGAUGUGAAAUCCCGAGGCUCAACCUCGGAACUGCAUUCGAAACUGCUCGGCUCGAGUCCCGGAGAGGAUGGGCAGAAUUCCCGGUGUAGGGGUGAAAUCCGUAGAUAUCCGGAGGAAUACCAGUGGCGAAGGCGGCCAUCUGGACGGUGACUGACGCUGAGACGCGAAAGCGUGGGGAGCAAACAGGAUUAGAGUACCCUGGUAGUCCACGCCGUAAACGGUGAGUGCUAGACGUCGCGGGUAUU
This 489-nucleotide ribosomal RNA is filed under the name uncultured Pseudomonadota bacterium. RNAcentral's name for it is "bacterial SSU rRNA". It matches the Rfam family "Bacterial small subunit ribosomal RNA", at positions 355 to 833 of the family's 1533-position model. The record is from RNAcentral. Lineage: Bacteria; Pseudomonadati; Pseudomonadota.